This 29-nucleotide non-coding RNA is filed under the name Mus musculus (house mouse). Lineage: Eukaryota; Metazoa; Chordata; Mammalia; Rodentia; Muridae. The record is from RNAcentral.
UGUGAUGAUUUCAAGGGCUAUAAAACGUG